Lemur catta (Ring-tailed lemur) is the source of this 2372-nucleotide long non-coding RNA. RefSeq lists it as uncharacterized. The record is from RefSeq and is a predicted model, not a curated record. Lineage: Eukaryota; Metazoa; Chordata; Mammalia; Primates; Lemuridae. The transcript is spliced from 3 exons.
CUUUCCUAGGCCGGACUCUUCUCUCUGAAUCUGUGGACAAAAAUAUUACUGUAGCGUUUGUGCUUCUGAGCUCUGCCCUUCCUUUUUCACAGAAGCCAUUGCAUUUGUCCUCCUGGAAGACGAGAAAAUCCUCACCCUGGUUACAUUUUGAAAUUCUCUCCUUGAGCUGGGUUUGGUUCUCAUCGUGGACAGAUUUGCAACGCGAGAUGGAGUGUUCUUCAGGGCUGUCAGCAAAAUAAUAUUGCUCCUUUGUGAAAGGGAGACAGGCCAGACAAUGAGUGUGGCCUAUUUUAUCUGUCCAUGCUGGCUGCCAACUUUUUAAAAAAGCAAUUUAAAUAUUUUCCCACAGCAUAUAUGCUAAUUGAAGAAAAUGGAUAUAAUAUAGACAAGCCAAGUAAAAGGACAGAGAGGACCCCCCAGAAUUCUGCUACUUAAAGGAGUCAAUGGAACUGUGAGUAAGCCAAAUGAUUCUGCAAGAGCAAGGAACUGUACCAACAACAAUAAAGACUGAUCAUUGUGAGAGGUAACACGUAAUAACCAGGCCAAAGGGGUCCAACAGCGUGUGGUGCAAUGAUGAAUAGCUGUAGAUGCCAAGAGGUGAGCUGGCUGUUUACACUCUAUUUCUAGCCCUCUGCCACCACCUCCUACCCCCUGCUGCCAUCUCCUGGGAGAUAAAAACACAAGCCCACUCAUUAAAAGGAGAUGGCAUUAAGGCAUAAUGAAAUGCAUGAACCAAAGUAGGAAAUCUAGUGACCAGGACUUGAUGGACAGGGUAUCGGACAACUGAGACACCAGAGAGGGUAUCAGACUUUCUCCUCUUUGCCAUCUUGGGAUGACAGAGUAAAACCUUAUGGCUCUAUGUAUAUGAAAGAUUAUUAGUGGCUUUAACAUUAAGGAACCCUCCUAUCCCUACAUCUUAAUUACACCAGAGUUACACAGUUUUAUGUUCUAGCUUAGAUUAUCUGCUCUGCUUUCCCUGGCCAUGCCAUGCCUCUGUUAGAAUAGCCCAGCAUACAUUAGCUCCCAGCAAGGCAGGGAACUCAGGCCAGCUGACUUCUGCUUUUCUCUGUCUCCUUGUUAACCCACUGUCUCACCAGGGCGAAGACAGAUGUUCAUAAACCUAUUUGGCGGCUUGUACAAACCAGCUUGUCUGGGCCAUAUCUUAGGAAACACUCCCCAGCACCCCUCCGUCUAGAGGGCCCUCCUGUUUGGUUGGCCUUGAACACUACUAGCCCCAGGCUGUUGAAUUGGACGUUAUGUCUUGUCCGGUCUCCCUUAGAUGGACAGAGCUCUCCGACUCUGCUUUUGGCUUCCUUUCUGGACUUCGGUGCCAAUGCACCGCUACCUGCUCUUGACCUGUCAAGCACGCACACAGGCCGAGAGCCAGACCUGCUGCCAACCGCAGUCUCCCUGCCUCUUUGCCACCCCAGCCCUAGGGGAGCCAAGACCGGAUGCCGACACUCACCUUCACUCUCAGCUUGUCUGUUAGUGAUGGGGAGAUUUCCAAGAUCCCGUCUGGAAACCACGUUAUAUUUAGUCAUCAUGUCUCCUUGGACUACUCUUGGCUGUGACAGUGUCUUAGACUUUGACAGUUUUGAGAAGCAUUGGUCAGGUAUUUUGUAGAAUGCCCCUCAACUGGAAUUUUUCUGAUGUUUUUCUCAUGAUUAAACCGGGCUGAUGUGUUUUUAGGAGGAAGAGCACGUAAGUAAAGUAUCAUUUCAUUACAUCAUACUAGGGGUAGACGACCAACAUGAUUCAUCGCUGUUGACUUUAACCUUGGUCACCCAGAUGAGGUAGCGUUCAUCAGAUUUUUACCCUGUAAAGUUGCUCUUUUACUUCCCUUUUCCAUACCAUAUUCUUUGGAAGGAAGUCACUGUGUGCAGCCCACAUUUAAGGAGUAAGAAGUUAAGCUCUACCUCCUUUAGGGUGGAGUAUCUAAAUAUAUUAUAUGGAAAUCUCUGCAUUGAUUUGUCUAUUCCCCCCCCAACUCACACAUGUAUUUAUUUAUUCAACCAUUUAUUUAUGUCAGUAUAUGGACGGGGCAGGGCACUAACAAUGUCCACUACAUCUGACACAGACAAUGAAUUAAUGAGUGGUUGAUGAAUGAUGGCCUUAUUACAGUUGACGAUAGAAAUUGUAACAGCAAGCAUACGUCCACACAAACACUCAUACACAAAUGUUCCCAGCAGCAUUAUUCAUAAUAGCCAAAAGGUAGAACAACUCAAAUGCACAUCAACUGACAAAUAGAUAAAUAAAUUGUGAUAUAUCUAUUCAAUGGAGUAUCAUUCAGCCAUGGAAAGGAAUGAAGUACUGAUACAUACAACAACAUGGAUGAACCUUGGAAACAUGCUAAGGGAAGGAAGCCAGUCACA